RNAcentral lists this long non-coding RNA (3437 nucleotides) under Mus musculus (house mouse). RNAcentral describes it as "RIKEN cDNA E130008D07 gene, transcript variant 2 (E130008D07Rik)". Lineage: Eukaryota; Metazoa; Chordata; Mammalia; Rodentia; Muridae. The record is from RNAcentral.
CUCUCAUCUCCCUGCCAAGACCUCAAAUAAAAUCGUUUCCUCCUGAAAAUGCCCAUCUCGGAACCUUGGCUGUGCCCCGAGGGAGGCACCGGAAUGGCAAAAGUGAGGACAUACGGCUGCCAGCAUCGUCUAUGCUCUAGAUAGGGGUCAAAUGUCAACUUUCUGCCAGGUCCAGCCCGGAUGUGAGGGCUGUGAAGGCAACAACCAAGGAACCAUUCCUUCGGAUGGAAGUCCUAUGGCAGAGAGAAGCUGAUGUUUGAAUUUUCCUGUAGAGCCCUUGAGGUUCCAUGAAUCAGUCUGGGAAGGAUGCAGGUUAAGUGGGAAGCAGAAGCCCUCAAUCACGUGAUGACGGAAAAGCCGAAAAGGCUGGGUUAUACCCUUAGGAAACCUAUUUGUUUCUUGGCUCCCUGCAGGGGCAUGCACACUAGCAAAGGCUCAAUCCCUUCAUUAUUCAUUUGAUCACAAAAGAAGGAAUGAGAGGAAAAAUACUUUUAUUUUUCACCAAGCAAUCACCAAGCGCAGUCUCAACGAAGAGCCCCUCCUUCUUUCAUGUCUUCUUUUGUGUGUGACUUACUCAGUCUAAGUUUCAUCCACAGGUAAAGGAACCCAAGCUGGGCCCAAUGCCAAGUGCACUUCUUCAAUGUUACAUUCUGGGACAGGAGAGAGGAUCACUGGUUGAGCCUACCUACUCUGUGGACACAUUGUAAUCCUGAAACUGUUCUGAGCUUCCAUUCAUGGCCAGGACACCUGAUCACUUCAUCGUUGGGUUCUGUGUUUGAAAACUGGGCCAGCUCUGAACCUGGGUGACAGAACACACUGUGGAGAAACCUUGUCUCUAGGAUCUUGCUCAUACACUCUUGGCUCCUCUUGCUCUGGUGGAGCUCCUCAGUGCCCACUGGGAAAGUGAUCUGGCUCCCAAGACCACCAGCCUGUUCAAGUCAUGGAUGGCACCAGUUUUCACAGGCUGAGUGAUUAGAAAACAGACUCUGGGACAGCUGUGUACAUAAGAGUCAUCUGGGCAUUGCUCUUACAAUCCCUGUAGAAGACAAGAGCUCAGAUUGACCCACCCGAAGUCCCUGGGAUUCACUUCUUCACCCUUCACACCUCGGCUUGCAGAAACAAGAUGCCACGUUUGACUUUAUGUGGUUGCUGGGAACAUGAAUUUGGGUCCUAGGGUUUACAAGUCAAGCACUUUACCCAUUGACCAUCUCCCUAGCCGUGUGACUGGCUUCUUUACCUUCAUGAUAACUACUCAUCAGCUAUAUUUUAAUCUGGCAAGGGGACUUGAAUUUGAAUGAGAUGACUCUAGUUAAAUAGUUUUGAUGAGGAGUGACAACUGAAGGCUCUUCGGGGCUAAAGGGAUACUUAGGUGUUGUGUUCCAUCCCCACCCCUGUUGACUAUAUAGGGCGAUACAAUGACUAACACAGGCUGGACACUUUAGAAGACAAACUUCAGACAAUUCCCCACCAAAAGGAUGUAUACCCUGGUUAUGGGUUUUUGGUUUGGGAGACUAUGUAUGCUAAGAUGAAUGUAGCUUGAUGAGUUGGGAAGACACUACAUAUGAGAUGAGCCAUGGUAAAGACUGCAUAAAGACAGGGGCAGACUUGGAUCUUUCCUUUCUCGGUUGCUAAAUGACUGAAAAAGCCUUUUAACCCCAUAGACCUUCUGCUCAUCUAAACAGAGUGGAGGUUGGCACUAUCUAAGACAUAUAAAGAACCGUCAAAACUCAGUGAUUAAAAUAUUAGACUAGGAAACUUAGAAAAGACAGAUCUGCCACUAAAGAGGCUAUAAAGAUGACAAAGUAGUAUAUGAAAAGAGGAUCAACAGCAUAAGCCAUCAUAGAAACACUCAGUAAACAUACAGUAUGAUACACUAAGGAGUUGAGGGGUCACUCAGUGGUUAGGGGCACAGAGGACUCUGCCAGAGGACUUGAGUUCACUUCCCAUCUCAUGUGGUUCGCAAUUGCCUAUAACUCCAGCUCCAAGGGUGAGGAUGGUCUUCCACACACACAUGCACACACACACACACACACACACACACACACACACACACACACACAUACACACAUACAUGCACAAAUGCGCAUGCUCACACACAAACACAUACUCACAUAUAUAAAUAAAAUAGAGAUCCUACCCUACUAUCAGAAUGGUUCAAAAAAUUUAAGGACAUCAACAAACACUGGCAAGGAUGUCAGACUCAUACGCAGCUACUGAGAAUGUAAAAUGGGACAAUCAGUCUAAAAACUGCAUUGAUGUCUCUAGGAAAUCAAACAUAUGCCUGCCAUAUGACCCAGAAAACAUUUUCCUAAGGCAUUUAUCCAAGAGAAGUGAAAGUGCACAAAAUCUACAUAUGCAUUUUCAUAUAUGUUGAUUUUCAAUAACUAGAAAUAACCCAAGCAUCUCACAACAAGCGAGCAAUUAGACAAACUACCAAGUCCACAUUCAGAAAUACUACUCACCAAUAGCAAUGAGAACAGUGUCGGUCUACACAACAACUCAGGUGGAUAUCAAGAGAAUCAUGCUGGGGAGGGAAAUUUCAGACUUCCGUAUGGUGUUUGAUAAAAUUUAUGCAACAUUCUUAAAAUUAAUCAAAGUAUAAAUCUGGAGACAUAUUAUUGCUGGUCACAGGUCGGGAGAAGGGACAGGUGGCAGUUGGUUCUAAAAGGUAUCACAAGAGGCCACUGAUGGGACGAGUCUAAGUUUGACUAUGGUGGUUUUCUUUUUCUCGGUUUUCUUUUUCUAUGAUAAACACCAUUACCAAACGCAAUUUGGAGAGGAAAGGGUUUGUUUCAUCUGACAGGAGACAGAUUGAAAGCAGGACCUUAAAGCAGAAACCACAGAGGGAUGCCCUUUAGUGGUUUGCUCCGUGUUCAGCUAGCUUUCUUAGACAACCUAAGCGACCUGCCUAGGGAAGAUGCUCCCCGUAGUAAACUGGACAGAGAAGGUACCACACACAUCCCCAUAGGCAACCUGAUGGAGGCCAUCCCUUAACCGGCAGGUUCUUUCUUCCCAAGUGUAUCUCAUAGAGAGGCACACGAGUCUCUCCACAUAACAAAGUUACAGACAGAGUGGCACCGGCCUAAAAUCUCAACUACGCAGGUGACAGAGGCAGAAGGAUUGCAAGUUUCAGGUAUGCCUGUGUUACAGAUUGGGAUCAACGCUACCUUGGGCAACUUAAGUCAGAUGGAACCAGAAGGCUGGGGAUACAUCUCAGCGGUAGAGCACUGGCUUAGCCUGUGUAGGUCAGUUUCUAGUAUGGCAAGCAAUCAAUGAAUAGCUGAAAAUAUGCAUGUCUAAGCACAGGGCAAAACUAUGAAACCUGGAUAUGACUAGUAUAGUCUGUCAAUUUUCUGGUUGUGAAGUGGUGUUGUGGUUAUGCAAUCUGUUGCCAACUAAUAAAAACUGGUAUGCAUAUGAAAAAAAAAAAAAAAAAA